RNAcentral lists this non-coding RNA (760 nucleotides) under Enallagma cyathigerum. The record is from RNAcentral. Lineage: Eukaryota; Metazoa; Arthropoda; Insecta; Odonata; Coenagrionidae.
UACAAUUAUUGUGAGUUUUAUUCUUGCUAAAUGAUCUUUUUUAUUUUUAUUUUAUAUACUAUUUCUGUUGCCUAAAAGGUUAAUAUUGUAGUAUUAAAUAUUGUUUUUCAAGUUACCUUGGAUACAGUUAAUUAUAAAGUUUUGGUUAAAUUCGUGCCAGCAUCCGCGGUUAUACGAUUGAGGCAAAAGAUUAUUAUUAGUCGGUAGUAAUUAUUUUAAUUUUUAUUAUUUUUGAAAAUUUUAGGUUAAAUUUAUAUUUUUUUAUAAUAUAUUUGGUCAAUUCUAUGAAAUUUAGAUUAUAAACAAGGAUUAGAUACCCUUUUAUACUAAAUGUUAAAUUUUCACUUGGGUAGUAGUAGUUAAGUUCUUGAAACCCAAAGAAUUUGGCGGUAUUUUAUUCUAUUCAGAGGAACCUGUUGUUUAAUCGAUAGUCCACGAUUUUAUUCACUUAUGCUUGUUUUCAGUUUUUAUACCUCCGUCAUAAGAAUGUUUUUUCAGAAUAAAUUUUCUUAAUUGUUAAAUACAAUUAUGUCAGGUCAAGGUGAAGCUAAUGCUUAAGUAUUAAUGGGUUACAAUAAUAAUAUUUAUAUGGAUUUUUAAAUUUAAAUUUAAAUUGAAGGUGGAUUUGUAAGUAAAGUUAAUUAAUUAAUUUUCUUGAUUUUAGCUCUAAAAUAUGUACACAUCGCCCGUCGCUCUCAUAAUAAAGUGAGAUAAGUCGUAACAUAGUAGAUGUAUCGGAAGAUGUAUCUAGAAAGUUAAA